Molecule: long non-coding RNA, 410 nt
Organism: Acanthopagrus latus (yellowfin seabream)
Lineage: Eukaryota; Metazoa; Chordata; Actinopteri; Spariformes; Sparidae
Exons: 3
Source: RefSeq, a predicted model, not a curated record
CUGCUCUACGUAUUUGAAACUUGAAGUUGUCUGAUUUCAGUGAGUGGCUCUUACAAAUGGGAUCUCUAGCGAAGGUGGGGUCUGUAGAAGCACUGGGAAGACCAGGUCCUGCUGCGUUGAUGGCGAUGACUCUGAACAGCCAGUAGCCGGUGAUGGGAGUGCCACCAUCGUCCUCAGGCUCCUCCCAGUUAAUGGUCAUGGAGUCCAAAGUGAUGUUGCUGAUGGUCGGCUUCUCACACUGACCAGGGACAGCUGCAGCCGGACAGACGUCUGACAAUCAAAAUCCAUCUUAAACUUUAACUUACUGAAGAGGUUUCGGGCGACCUCAGGCUCGCUGUCCAGUGGCUCUCCAACUCCAUAUUUAUUCUGCGCCAUGAUGCGAAACACAUACUCGUGUCCUUGCAUCAGAU